CACGCUCCCAGGGCCAGCCUGCCCAGCUCAGUGGGGUCAGGAGGCUUCGUCCUAUGAAGGCAGCCUGGGAGGGAGGCACAUUACUGCUCCUUGGGGUGAGAGAACAGAGAUCACGCUUGCUGUCGUUCUAUCAUUCCAUCACCUUUCCAAGUACCCCUGAGGCUCGGAAUUCCCUGGUGGUCCCGGAGGAGGCAGCGGCGUGCUGUGCGUCUCGGCUGAUUCUCUGGUCUCCAUCCCUCCGAGGGUGUCGCUGCACCAUAGGACAGAGGCGGACAUCCAGGUUCCCUGGCACCCGCUCUCUCCCGAGGCUCAGAGUGGGCGUUGGU
This 326-nucleotide long non-coding RNA is filed under the name Homo sapiens (human). RNAcentral's name for it is "HSALNT0253688". The record is from RNAcentral. Lineage: Eukaryota; Metazoa; Chordata; Mammalia; Primates; Hominidae.